This 207-nucleotide ribosomal RNA is filed under the name uncultured bacterium. RNAcentral describes it as "partial 16S ribosomal RNA". It matches the Rfam family "Bacterial small subunit ribosomal RNA", at positions 568 to 774 of the family's 1533-position model. The record is from RNAcentral.
UGCGUAGGCGGCCCUGCAAGUUGGAUGUGAAAUCCCCGUGCUUAACAUGGGAAUUGCAUUCAAAACUGUGGGGCUUGAGUGUGGAAGAGGUAAGUGGAAUUCCCAGUGUAGCGGUGAAAUGCGUAGAUAUUGGGAGGAACACCAGUGGCGAAGGCGACUUACUGGGCCACAACUGACGCUGAUGCACGAAAGCGUGGGGAGCAAACA